Molecule: long non-coding RNA, 654 nt
Organism: Hylaeus volcanicus
Lineage: Eukaryota; Metazoa; Arthropoda; Insecta; Hymenoptera; Colletidae
Exons: 2
Source: RefSeq, a predicted model, not a curated record
AAUUGCACUCCUCGGUUAAUCGUCAGUUAACGUGUCCUUCUCACACAUCACGCUUUGGUAACAAAAUUAUACUACUUUUCUACGUUUCGAAAUAGCUUUUCCAUGUUUUUUGUUAUGAUUAUCACGCUGACGCAGUUAGCGUCCAUGGAAUGCAGCACGCUGCAUUUUCAUAGGAUUAAAUACGAUGGACAAAUAUGGAUGUUCCAAGUUACUUUGCCGAUGAGGAGUACAGAGGAAAGUUUCAAUUUAUUGACCCUUGAACAGAUUUAACACUAUUUAGUUUUGCAAUGUUCGGUGCUUAGUGGCCCUCUGUCGAUUCAAUUCAAAUCUGUUACGCGUUACCAAAACUGAAGUUAUUUAUGAAACAAUGGCAGAAAAAUAAGAAUAUUAAAAUUGAAGUCGUUAGUAAAUAUGGAAGUGUUGAAGUUAAUGUUAUUUCUCUCGAUUUGGCAUUACCGAAGGUUGGCAAACGUUCGGAACUUAUCUGAUCCAUGUCCACACGUGGCAUGCAAAGAUAGACAAGAUUCUUUUCUAGAUAAAGAUUUCGAUCAGAGUAAAUAUUGAACAACCUAUUAUUCAUUAUUCGCGAAAUAAAAAUUCCAGUUUGUAAAUUACGGUUUGUAAACGUUAUAAAUAAAUCGUUAUACUGCAUUA